UGGCUCGACACGGGGUGUCCUGCUUUGCAGGGCUGAGAGUACACCCGUUGAACCUGAUCCAGUUCACACUGGCGAAGGGAUGUCAGCCGCAGGCGCA
Molecule: non-coding RNA, 97 nt
Filed under: Marinobacter sp.
Lineage: Bacteria; Pseudomonadati; Pseudomonadota; Gammaproteobacteria; Pseudomonadales; Marinobacteraceae
Also listed under: 1 other name
Description: TPP sequence
Rfam family: TPP riboswitch aptamer (THI element)
About the family: Vitamin B(1) in its active form thiamin pyrophosphate (TPP) is an essential coenzyme that is synthesised by coupling of pyrimidine and thiazole moieties in bacteria. The previously detected thiamin-regulatory element, thi box was extended, resulting in a new, highly conserved RNA secondary structure, the THI element, which is widely distributed in eubacteria and also occurs in some archaea.
Source: RNAcentral